UACGGAGGGUGCGAGCGUUAAUCGGAAUUACUGGGCGUAAAGGGUGCGUAGGUGGUCAAUUAAGUUAGAUGUAAAAACCCUGGGCUUAACCUGGGGCUGAGAUUUAAUACUGGUUGACUGGAGUAUUGGAGAGGGUAGUGGAAUUUCCGGUGUAGCGGUGAAAUGCGUAGAGAUCGGAAGGAACACCAGUGGCGAAGGCG
RNAcentral lists this ribosomal RNA (200 nucleotides) under uncultured bacterium. RNAcentral describes it as "partial 16S ribosomal RNA". It matches the Rfam family "Bacterial small subunit ribosomal RNA", at positions 524 to 723 of the family's 1533-position model. The record is from RNAcentral.